This 486-nucleotide ribosomal RNA is filed under the name uncultured bacterium. RNAcentral describes it as "partial 16S ribosomal RNA". It matches the Rfam family "Bacterial small subunit ribosomal RNA", at positions 28 to 507 of the family's 1533-position model. The record is from RNAcentral.
GAUGAACGCUGGCGGCGUGCCUAAUACAUGCGAGUCGAACGCUGGAGAUCUAGCUUGCUAGAUCGAAGGAGUGGCGAACGGGUGAGUAAUACAUAAGCAACCUACCCACGAAGACUGGGAUAAUCUCUGGAAACGGGGACUAAUACCGGAUAGGUAAUCGGAAGGCAUCUUCUGGUUAUUAAAGGUUAAAAACACUGGUGGAUGGGCUUAUGGCGCAUUAGUUAGUUGGUGAGGUAACGGCCCACCAAGACGAUGAUGCGUAGCCGGCCUGAGAGGGUGAACGGCCACAUUGGGACUGAGACACAGCCCAGACUCCUACGGGAGGCAGCAGUAGGGAAUUUUCGGCAAUGGGGGCAACCCUGACCGAGCAACGCCGCGUGAGUGAAGACGGCCUUCGGGUUGUAAAGCUCUGUUGUAAGGGAAGAACGGUAGAUAGAGAAUAUCUAAGUGACGGUACCUUACCAGAAAGCCACGGCUAACUACGUG